RNAcentral lists this ribosomal RNA (217 nucleotides) under uncultured bacterium. RNAcentral describes it as "partial 16S ribosomal RNA". It matches the Rfam family "Bacterial small subunit ribosomal RNA", at positions 122 to 334 of the family's 1533-position model. The record is from RNAcentral.
UAACCUGCCUCUUAGCGGGGGAUAACUAUUGGAAACGAUAGCUAAUACCGCAUAAAAGUCGACAUUGCAUGAUGUUGACUUGAAAGGUGCGACUGCAUCACUAAGAGAUGGACCUGCGUUGUAUUAGCUAGUUGGUGAGGUAACGGCUCACCAAGGCGACGAUACAUAGCCGACCUGAGAGGGUGAUCGGCCACACUGGGACUGAGACACGGCCCAG